CCUACGGGAGGCUGCAGUGGGGAAUAUUGGACAAUGGGCGAAAGCCUGAUCCAGCCAUGCCGCGUGUGUGAAGAAGGCCUUCGGGUUGUAAAGCACUUUCAGUGGGGAAGAAAGCCUUGGGGCUAAUACCCUCGAGGAAGGACAUCACCCACAGAAGAAGCACCGGCUAACUCCGUGCCAGCAGCCGCGGUAAUACGGAGGGUGCGAGCGUUAAUCGGAAUUACUGGGCGUAAAGCGCGCGUAGGCGGUCUGAUAAGCCGGUUGUGAAAGCCCCGGGCUCAACCUGGGAACGGCAUCCGGAACUGUCAGGCUAGAGUGCAGGAGAGGAAGGUAGAAGUCCCGGUGUAGCGGUGAAAUGCGUAGAGAUCGGGAGGAAUACCAGUGGCGAAGGCGGCCUUCUGGACUGACACUGACGCUGAGGUGCGAAAGCGUGGGUAGCAAACAGGAUUAGAUACCCCGGUAGUC
This 465-nucleotide ribosomal RNA is filed under the name Vreelandella stevensii. Its description in RNAcentral is "partial 16S ribosomal RNA". It matches the Rfam family "Bacterial small subunit ribosomal RNA", at positions 338 to 795 of the family's 1533-position model. The record is from RNAcentral. Lineage: Bacteria; Pseudomonadati; Pseudomonadota; Gammaproteobacteria; Oceanospirillales; Halomonadaceae.